AUUGAACGCUGGCGGCAGGCCUAACACAUGCAAGUCGAGCGGAUGAAGGGAGCUUGCUCCUGGAUUCAGCGGCGGACGGGUGAGUAAUGCCUAGGAAUCUGCCUGGUAGUGGGGGAUAACGUCCGGAAACGGGCGCUAAUACCGCAUACGUCCUGAGGGAGAAAGUGGGGGAUCUUCGGACCUCACGCUAUCAGAUGAGCCUAGGUCGGAUUAGCUAGUUGGUGGGGUAAAGGCCUACCAAGGCGACGAUCCGUAACUGGUCUGAGAGGAUGAUCAGUCACACUUGAACUGAGACACGGUCCAGACUCCUACGGGAGGCAGCAGUGGGGAAUAUUAGCCAAUGGGCGAAAGCCUGAUCCAGCCAUGCCGCGUGUGUGAAGAAGGUCUUCGGAUUGUAAAGCACUUUAAGUUGGGAGGAAGGGCAGUAAGUUAAUACCUUGAUGUUUUGACGUUACCAACAGAAUAAGCACCGGCUAACUUCGUG
RNAcentral lists this ribosomal RNA (484 nucleotides) under uncultured bacterium. RNAcentral describes it as "partial 16S ribosomal RNA". It matches the Rfam family "Bacterial small subunit ribosomal RNA", at positions 30 to 507 of the family's 1533-position model. The record is from RNAcentral.